RNAcentral lists this ribosomal RNA (509 nucleotides) under uncultured bacterium. RNAcentral's name for it is "partial 16S ribosomal RNA". It matches the Rfam family "Bacterial small subunit ribosomal RNA", at positions 28 to 523 of the family's 1533-position model. The record is from RNAcentral.
GACGAACGCUGGCGGCGCGCUUAACACAUGCAAGUCGAGCGAGAACCUGGGCUUCGGCCCUGGGGACAGCGGCGAACGGGUGAGUAACACGUGGGUAAUCUGCCCUCGACAUCGGGAUAGCCCGGGGAAACCCGGAUUAAUACCGAAUAGCCUCCGGAGCCUUCGGGCGCCGGAGAAAAGGUAGCUUCGGCCUCUGGUCGAGGAUGAGCCCGCGGCGGAUUAGCUUGUUGGCGGGGCAACGGCCCACCAAGGCGACGAUCCGUAGCUGGUCUGAGGGGACGAUCAGCCACACUGGGACUGAGACACGGCCCAGACUCCUACGGGAGGCAGCAGUGGGGAAUCUUGCGCCAAUGCGGGAAACCGUGACGCAGCGACGCCGCGUGGGGGAAGAAGGCCUUCGGGUUGUGAACCUCUUUCAGGAGGGACGAAGCCACUCGGGUGAAUAGCCCAGAGGGUGACGGUACCUCCAGAAGAAGCCCCGGCUAACUACGUGCCAGCAGCCGCCGUAA